This is a non-coding RNA of Caenorhabditis elegans, 64 nucleotides long. The record is from Ensembl. Lineage: Eukaryota; Metazoa; Nematoda; Chromadorea; Rhabditida; Rhabditidae.
AGAAAAGAGCAUCGGAAAUCAUUGUCCUUGUCUAUUCUGACCUUUCAUUUCUUUUCAACGUUUU